CAAUAGCGUAUAUUAAAGUUGUUGCAGUUAAAAAGCUCGUAGUUGAACUUCUGGUGAGGAGUAAGUUUGGCUUUGGUCGGCUUAAAUCUCAUCAUCCGAUUGCAAACUAUAUUUUUGUUAUUCAGUUAACAAUAUAGGGAGCAAUCAAUUUACUUUGAAAAAAUUAGAGUGUUUCAGGCAGGCAAUCGCCCGAAUACAUUAGCAUGGAAUAAUGGAAUAGGACUUUGGUUCAUUUGGUUGGCUAUUGAAUCAGAGUAAUGAUUAAUAGGGACAGUUGGGGGCAUUAGUAUUUAAUUGUCAGAGGUGAAAUUCUUGGAUUUAUUAAAGACUAACUUAUGCGAAAGCAUUUGCCAAGGAUGUUUNCAUUAA
Molecule: ribosomal RNA, 369 nt
Filed under: uncultured eukaryote
Lineage: Eukaryota
Description: partial 18S ribosomal RNA
Rfam family: Eukaryotic small subunit ribosomal RNA
Source: RNAcentral